GGGAGGAUGGCAAUGACCCCAUUAGCUCAUUAGUAUAAUCUAGUAAGUGAAAUACAAAUUCAACUCAUUUACUUCUUCACAAAAGGCAAACAUAAUUGAUAUACUUCAUAUCAAAAAACUAGUUUAUAAAGCUUGUCUUCAUAUUUCAGUUUAAGGUUCAACUGAUAUAAAAUGCCUUAAAAGAACAUCCAAGCAAUGCUUUGGAUUUUCUUUCUUUGCAAAAUUCAAGGAAAACAUGAUUGGUUGAAGUUUCUUCACUGCUGGCGAAUUAGUUAAGAGCUACCUGAGAUUGCUUUGCACUUCCACUCUUCCACUCUUUGAGUUUCCAGUGAUUAAAAUAUGCCAGAGACAUAAUUUAGAGAGUGCUAGAAAUGCCACACAGAUCUCAUCACUUAAAAAAGGGUUUCUGGCCAGGCACGGUUUUGAAGUUUUUACAGAAUGUACAGAAUGUAAUCAUUAAAAAAUGACUUUCAGAAACAUAUACAUUCAAAGAAAAUCUUUUAGUAUUCUAAGCAUUGAAUACUUUGGGGGAAGAACUGGUUUCUUUUUUGGAUUGUUUAAGAAGUCAGUCUUUUCUCAACAGUUUCUUGAUAAGCAAUAAAUCUUCGCAAAUUCAUUUUCACAUUGUCAAGAACACACAGCUGAUCUGUGC
This 652-nucleotide long non-coding RNA is filed under the name Pan troglodytes (chimpanzee). RNAcentral's name for it is "long non-coding RNA NONPTRT006313". Lineage: Eukaryota; Metazoa; Chordata; Mammalia; Primates; Hominidae. The record is from RNAcentral.